GACGAACGCUGGCGGCGUGCUUAACACAUGCAAGUCGAACGGUAAGGCCCUUCGGGGUACACGAGUGGCGAACGGGUGAGUAACACGUGGUGAUCUGCCCUGCACUUUGGAUAAGCCUGGGAAACUGGGUCUAAUACCGAAUAGGACUCCGGACUGCAUGGUCUGGGUGGGAAGCUUUUGCGGUGUGGGAUGGGCCCGCGGCCUAUCAGCUUGUUGGUGGGGUGAUGGCCUACCAAGGCGACGACGGGUAGCCGGCCUGAGAGGGUGACCGGCCACACUGGGACUGAGAUACGGCCCAGACUCCUACGGGAGGCAGCAGUGGGGAAUAUUG
Molecule: ribosomal RNA, 331 nt
Filed under: uncultured bacterium
Lineage: Bacteria
Description: bacterial SSU rRNA
Rfam family: Bacterial small subunit ribosomal RNA
Source: RNAcentral